This is a long non-coding RNA of Mastomys coucha (southern multimammate mouse), 1128 nucleotides long. RefSeq lists it as uncharacterized. The record is from RefSeq and is a predicted model, not a curated record. The transcript is spliced from 2 exons. Lineage: Eukaryota; Metazoa; Chordata; Mammalia; Rodentia; Muridae.
GGCAAGCUCGCGCCAUCUGCUGGCAGCUCCCAGAAGCUUAAGGAAGGGGAAAGGCGGUUAAGGUGGGCCAGGAAUGGUUUCUUAUUUAAUGUAGCUUCCAUAAAAAUGAAACUGCAGAAUCACUGGAUGUUUUUAUUUUUAAAAGACAGGAGAGGCAACACCCACAACUCCUGGGACCUUAACCCAGCAGCUUCAUGCAACUUAUAACCAAAGAAAGAGGGUCACGGACACUAGUCAAAGGCUCUUGGUCCACACUGAAGACCUUCUUGUGAUGGCAGAAUACAAGAGUACAUGUCCAAGAGCUCAGAGAACCACCGAGGCAGAGAAGCAGCAGCAUAGACCAGCCAGUGCCUGUUCUCCUGUUUCACCGUGUGGUCUUGGAAGACAGCCUCCUUGAUCUAAAGGCCUGAGCUUUGCCCUGCUAUUCUAGCUUUUGGGAAUGUUGACCGUCUACCUCAUUAAGUUUCUAGUUUCAGAAACCCGAACAAACUCAUUUGAGGUCCUAGAGCACACGAAUGAUAUAAAGUAGCCGGAUACACUCCUGUCCUUCUCAGUGUAAGUGCCCACACAUAAAUAAACCAGACUGUAGAGAGUUCCACUGCUGUAAAUAGAAAGUUGUUGCCAUUGUUCUCCUUCUCCAAGUCAGAAUGGCCCAGUUUAUAUUAACACACUCACUCUAGUGGCAAAUACACUCUUUAUUUCCCCAUCUUAAAUUGCAUAUUGAAAUUCUCUGGGAAAAUGCUAGAUACUUGCAGUGUCUAGUAUGAUGAUAUUAAGUAUUAGUAUCAGACUCUUUAGUGUCUAAUUUGUAAAAGUUGACCUGACAUCUUUAACGUGCAAUAUCAGACUUAAAUUAUAGAAAAGCCAAGAAGACUCGCGGUUGGAGAUGGUGGCUUAAUCUGUGGUGAUUUAGAACAGUGGUUCUCCAAAGUUCACCUGGACUUCGGGUUCAAACACAACCCACAGCACCUCCUCCCCAGAGCUGCCUACCUGGGGAGGUGGAUAGGACACUGUCAUUGCCUCUCUAGGAACUUCCCAGGAUGGUGCUAAAACUAUUGGUCCUGGGAACCUAUUCUGAGUCUCACUCAUUAAAACGGCUAUUGGAAGAAUCAGUGAGGGCAAACCCAA